AGAGUUUGAUCAUGGCUCAGAUUGAACGCUGGCGGCAGGCCUAACACAUGCAAGUCGAACGGUAACAUUUCUAGCUUGCUAGAAGAUGACGAGUGGCGGACGGGUGAGUAAUGCUUGGGAACUUGCCUUUGCGAGGGGGAUAACAGUUGGAAACGACUGCUAAUACCGCAUAACGUCUACGGACCAAACGGGGCUUAGGCUCCGGCGCAAAGAGAGGCCCAAGUGAGAUUAGCUAGUUGGUAAGGUAAUGGCUUACCAAGGCAACGAUCUCUAGCUGUUCUGAGAGGAAGAUCAGCCACACUGGAACUGAGACACGGUCCAGACUCCUACGGGAGGCAGCAGUGGGGAAUAUUGCACAAUGGGGGAAACCCUGAUGCAGCCAUGCCGCGUGUGUGAAGAAGGCCUUCGGGUUGUAAAGCACUUUCAGUUGUGAGGAAAAGUUAGUAGUUAAUACCUGCUAGCCGUGACGUUAACAACAGAAGAAGCACCGGCUAACUCCGUGCCAGCAGCCGCGGUAAUACGGAGGGUGCGAGCGUUAAUCGGAAUUACUGGGCGUAAAGCGCACGCAGGCGGUUUGUUAAGCUAGAUGUGAAAGCCCCGGGCUCAACCUGGGAUAGUCAUUUAGAACUGGCAGACUAGAGUCUUGGAGAGGGGAGUGGAAUUCCAGGUGUAGCGGUGAAAUGCGUAGAUAUCUGGAGGAACAUCAGUGGCGAAGGCGACUCCCUGGCCAAAGACUGACGCUCAUGUGCGAAAGUGUGGGUAGCGAACAGGAUUAGAUACCCUGGUAGUCCACACCGUAAACGCUGUCUACUAGCUGUUUGUGA
RNAcentral lists this ribosomal RNA (824 nucleotides) under uncultured marine microorganism. RNAcentral's name for it is "bacterial SSU rRNA". It matches the Rfam family "Bacterial small subunit ribosomal RNA", at positions 8 to 829 of the family's 1533-position model. The record is from RNAcentral.